UACGUAGGGUCCAAGCGUUGUCCGGAUUUAUUGGGCGUAAAGAGCUCGUAGGCGGCUCAGUAAGUCGGAUGUGAAAACUCGGGGCUCAACCCCGAGACGCCAUCCGAUACUGCUGUGGCUUGAGUCUGGUAGGGGAACACGGAAUUCCUGGUGUAGCGGUGAAAUGCGCAGAUAUCGAGAGGAACACCAGUGGCGAAGGCGAGUCCCUGGACAACACCUGACACUGAGGCACGAAAGCUAGGGGAGCAAACAGG
RNAcentral lists this ribosomal RNA (254 nucleotides) under uncultured bacterium. Its description in RNAcentral is "partial 16S ribosomal RNA". It matches the Rfam family "Bacterial small subunit ribosomal RNA", at positions 524 to 776 of the family's 1533-position model. The record is from RNAcentral.